RNAcentral lists this ribosomal RNA (410 nucleotides) under Verrucomicrobiota bacterium. RNAcentral describes it as "Verrucomicrobia bacterium partial 16S ribosomal RNA". It matches the Rfam family "Bacterial small subunit ribosomal RNA", at positions 355 to 776 of the family's 1533-position model. The record is from RNAcentral. Lineage: Bacteria; Pseudomonadati; Verrucomicrobiota.
UGGGGAAUAUUGCACAAUGGACGGAAGUCUGAUGCAGCGACGCCGCGUGGGGGAUGAAGGCUUUCGGGUUGUAAACUCCUUUCAGUACAGAAGAAGCUUUAUUGUGACGGUAUGUGCAGAAGAAGCGCCGGCUAACUACGUGCCAGCAGCCGCGGUAAUACGUAGGGCGCGAGCGUUGUCCGGAAUUAUUGGGCGUAAAGGGCGUGUAGGCGGCUAGAUAAGUGUGAUGUUUAAAUCCAAGGCUUAACCUUGGGGUUCAUUACAAACUGUUUAGCUUGAGUGCUGGAGAGGAUAGUGGAAUUCCUAGUGUAGCGGUAAAAUGCGUAGAUAUUAGGAGGAACACCGGUGGCGAAGGCGGCUAUCUGGACAGUAACUGACGCUGAGGCGCGAAAGCGUGGGGAGCAAACAGG